AGAGCCCCAACCAGACUGUCUGGUGAAUCUGGACAAGAUGGCCCUUCUGAGUCAGUCUGGACUUCAGACUGAGGCGCACUCCCAGAAUCCUUUUGUUUCUUCUUCUUGCCAAAUUCCUUCCUAGAACGUCCAACUCACUGUUGAAUAGAAGUAUCUAUUGAAGGUAGUAUUCUCAUCUUCCUAUUCAUCUGUGGGCUUUCGUGGAUGCCCUCUAUCGGCAGGAGGUAUGUUCCUUCUUGAUCCUCCCUCAACAACUGUUUUCCUUAUGAAGAGGUACUAGAUUUAUGUACCCCAUACUUUGUGUGUCUAUUGGGAUGGCCAAGUGUUUUUUAAACAUUUAUCUC
This 344-nucleotide long non-coding RNA is filed under the name Mus pahari (shrew mouse). Its description in RNAcentral is "lncRNA (MGP_PahariEiJ_G0003358.1)". The record is from RNAcentral. Lineage: Eukaryota; Metazoa; Chordata; Mammalia; Rodentia; Muridae.